UACGGAGGAUCCAAGCGUUAUCCGGAAUCAUUGGGUUUAAAGGGUCCGUAGGCGGUUUAGUAAGUCAGUGGUGAAAGCCCAUCGCUCAACGGUGGAACGGCCAUUGAUACUGCUAAACUUGAAUUAUUAGGAAGUAACUAGAAUAUGUAGUGUAGCGGUGAAAUGCUUAGAGAUUACAUGGAAUACCAAUUGCGAAGGCAGGUUACUACUAAUGGAUUGACGCUGAUGGACGAAGGCGUGGGUAGCGAACAGGAUUAGAUACCCGUGUAGU
This 271-nucleotide ribosomal RNA is filed under the name uncultured bacterium. Its description in RNAcentral is "partial 16S ribosomal RNA". It matches the Rfam family "Bacterial small subunit ribosomal RNA", at positions 524 to 794 of the family's 1533-position model. The record is from RNAcentral.